AGAGUUUGAUCCUGGCUCAGAUUGAACGCUGGCGGCAUGCCUUACACAUGCAAGUCGAACGGCAGCACGGGGGCAACCCUGGUGGCGAGUGGCGAACGGGUGAGUAAUAUAUCGGAACGUGCCCUGGAGUGGGGGAUAACUAGUCGAAAGAUUAGCUAAUACCGCAUACGAUCUACGGAUGAAAGUGGGGGACCCGCAAGGGCCUCAUGCUCCUGGAGCGGCCGAUAUCUGAUUAGCUAGUUGGUGAGGUAAAGGCUCACCAAGGCAUCGAUCAGUAGCUGGUCUGAGAGGACGACCAGCCACACUGGGACUGAGACACGGCCCAGACUCCUACGGGAGGCAGCAGUGGGGAAUUUUGGACAAUGGGCGCAAGCCUGAUCCAGCAAUGCCGCGUGAGUGAAGAAAGGCCUUCGGGUUGUAAAGCUCUUUUGUCAGGGAAGAAACGGUGAGGGCGAAUACCCCUUGCUAAUGACGGUACCUGAAGAAUAAGCACCGGGCUAACUACGUGCCAGCAGCC
RNAcentral lists this ribosomal RNA (517 nucleotides) under uncultured Glaciimonas sp. RNAcentral's name for it is "bacterial SSU rRNA". It matches the Rfam family "Bacterial small subunit ribosomal RNA", at positions 8 to 516 of the family's 1533-position model. Lineage: Bacteria; Pseudomonadati; Pseudomonadota; Betaproteobacteria; Burkholderiales; Oxalobacteraceae. The record is from RNAcentral.